Molecule: ribosomal RNA, 233 nt
Filed under: uncultured bacterium
Lineage: Bacteria
Description: partial 16S ribosomal RNA
Rfam family: Bacterial small subunit ribosomal RNA
Source: RNAcentral
UGAGUAACCUGCCCUUCACUCUGGGAUAACUCCGGGGAAACCGGGGCUAAUACUGGAUACGACCUACUCGGGCAUCCGAUGUGGGUGGAAAGACUUAUUGGUGAGGGAUGGACUCGCGGCCUAUCAGCUUGUUGGUGAGGUAAUGGCUCACCAAGGUGACGACGGGUAGCCGGCCUGAGAGGGCGAUCGGUCACACUGGGACUGAGACACGGCCCAGACUCCGUACGGGAGCA